This 508-nucleotide ribosomal RNA is filed under the name uncultured bacterium. RNAcentral's name for it is "partial 16S ribosomal RNA". It matches the Rfam family "Bacterial small subunit ribosomal RNA", at positions 28 to 507 of the family's 1533-position model. The record is from RNAcentral.
GACGAACGCUGGCGGCGUGCCUAAUACAUGCAAGUCGAACGCUUCUUUCCUCCCGAGCGCUUGCACCCAAUUGGAAAGAGGAGUGGCGGACGGGUGAGUAACACGUGGGUAACCUACCCAUCAGAGGGGGAUAACACUUGGAAACAGGUGCUAAUACCGCAUAACAGUUUAUGCCGCAUGGCAUAAGAGUGAAAGGCGCUUUCGGGUGUCGCGGAUGGAUGGACCCGCGGUGCAUUAGCUAGUUGGUGAGGUAACGGCUCACCAAGGCCACGAUGCAUAGCCGACCUGAGAGGGUGAUCGGCCACACUGGGACUGAGACACGGCCCAGACUCCUACGGGAGGCAGCAGUAGGGAAUCUUCGGCAAUGGACGAAAGUCUGACCGAGCAACGCCGCGUGAGUGAAGAAGGUUUUCGGAUCGUAAAACUCUGUUGUUAGAGAAGAACAAGGACGUUAGUAACUGAACGUCCCCUGACGGUAGCUAAACAGAAAGCCACGGCUAACUACGUG